RNAcentral lists this long non-coding RNA (1128 nucleotides) under Ananas comosus (pineapple). RNAcentral's name for it is "long non-coding RNA (ACOM_LNC000705)". Lineage: Eukaryota; Viridiplantae; Streptophyta; Magnoliopsida; Poales; Bromeliaceae. The record is from RNAcentral.
GAUAUAUUAAUUAUCAAAAUAAAAUAUUUAAUUAUAUAUAUUAUUUAUCUAUUAAAAGAAAUAAAUGAUAUAGUAUAUAUUGUUAUUAAUGAUAUGUACUUAUAUAUAUGAGGAUAUAUUAUAUAUUAACAAAAUAUUUAGUUCUAUAUUAUGAUAUAUUUGNAUUUAAAAUUUGAAAAUUAAAAGUUUUAAUUUUAAUUUCAAAUUUUAAAAUUUAAAAGUUAAAAUUUUUAAUUUAAAAUUAUAAGUUUAAAAUUUUAAAUUCAAUUAUAGGGUUAAAAUCAUUAUUUUCUAUCUAUAACUACCAACUAUUCCACCUUAUACUCACAUUUUCAUCCAAACACAAUUUUUCUAGUUCCAGCUUAUACCCACAUUUUCAUCCAAACAAAAAAAUACCCUUAUUCCUACGAAAACCCAUACUUAUACCUAUCCCUGGUAUAACUAGUUCUUGCUUAUACCCGAACCAAACGAAUCCUAAGAGACUAAAAUCAUCCUAACUCUACAAUUUCUCAUCCAAGGGUUAAAAACUGGAUAGCAACUACAAUUUCUCAUCCAAAGGUUAAAAACUUGAUAACAACUACAAUUUCUCAUCCAAGAGUUAAAAACUUGAUAGCAAAAAAAACCUUUUGCUAUCAAUUGUAUUCCAGCCUACCUCUAUUGUGACGCCCCAACUUCUAAGGGGGUCACCUAUCCUAGGAUUACUCCCGUCCUAGCACGCUUAACUCUCUUAAUCUCUUGGGCCUUGCCACCACCCAAAAUGCUUAAGUCGGGUUAAGAGUUUAGCCCUUAUAUCUCAUAUAUAGGGCUAUCUGGGGUCUCACAAUCUCCCCUCCUUUAAGCCCUGACGUCCUCGUUAGGCUCAGACUUACAAGUACCAGGCGAUGUGAGACUCAUCUCGCUAGCCCGUCAUCCAGACCCUGGCUCAGCCGAGACUCAUCUCACACUUCCGGCUGGUAAUUGGCUCUGAUACCAUCUGUGAUGCCCCAACUUCCCAGGGGGUCACCCAUCCUAGGAUUACUCCCGUCUUAGCACGCUUUAACUCUCUUAACCUCUUGGGUCUUGCCACCACCCAAAAUGCUUAAGCCGGGUUAAGAGUUUAGCCCUAUUAUAUCUCAUAUAUAGGGCUAU